GCAGGCUUAACACAUGCAAGCUCGAACGCUCCGCAAGGAGAGUGGCAGACGGGUGAGUAACACGUGGGAAUCUACCCUUUACUACGGAAUAACGCAUGGAAACGUGUGCUAAUACCGUAUGUGUCCUUCGGGAGAAAGAUUUAUCGGUAAAGGAUGAGCCCGCGUUGGAUUAGCUAGUUGGUGGGGUAAAGGCCUACCAAGGCGACGAUCCAUAGCUGGUCUGAGAGGAUGAUCAGCCACAUUGGGACUGAGACACGGCCCAAACUCCUACGGGAGGCAGCAGUGGGGAAUAUUGGACAAUGGGCGCAAGCCUGAUCCAGCCAUGCCGCGUGAGUGAUGAAGGCCCUAGGGCUGUAAAGCUCUUUCACCGGAGAAGAUAAUGACGGUAUCCGGAGAAGAAGCCCCGGCUAACUUCGUGCCAGCAGCCGCGGUAAUACGAAGGGGGCUAGCGUUGUUCGGAUUUACUGGGCGUAAAGCGCACGUAGGCGGAUCGAUCAGUCAGGGGUGAAAUCCCAGAGCUCAACUCUGGAACUGCCUUUGAUACUGUCGAUCUGGAGUAUGGAAGAGGUGAGUGGAAUUCCGAGUGUAGAGGUGAAAUUCGUAGAUAUUCGGAGGAACACCAGUGGCGAAGGCGGCUCACUGGUCCAUUACUGACGCUGAGGUGCGAAAAGCGUGGGGAGCAAAACAGGAUUAGAUACCCUGGGUAGUCCACGCCGUAAACGAUGAAUGUUAGCCGUCGGGCAGUAUACUGGUUCGGUGGCGCAGCUAAACGCCAUUUAAAACAUUUCCGCCUGGGGAGUUACGGGUCGCCAAGAUUUA
Molecule: ribosomal RNA, 819 nt
Filed under: uncultured bacterium
Lineage: Bacteria
Description: bacterial SSU rRNA
Rfam family: Bacterial small subunit ribosomal RNA
Source: RNAcentral